RNAcentral lists this ribosomal RNA (446 nucleotides) under uncultured bacterium. Its description in RNAcentral is "partial 16S ribosomal RNA". It matches the Rfam family "Bacterial small subunit ribosomal RNA", at positions 338 to 795 of the family's 1533-position model. The record is from RNAcentral.
CCUACGGGCGGCAGCAGUCGAGAAUCAUUCACAAUGGGGGAAACCCUGAUGGUGCGACGCCGCGUGGGGGAAUGAAGGUCUUCGGAUUGUAAACCCCUGUCAUGUGGGAGCAAAUUAAAAAGAUAGUACCACAAGAGGAAGAGACGGCUAACUCUGUGCCAGCAGCCGCGGUAAUACAGAGGUCGCAAGCGUUGUUCGGAAUCACUGGGCGUAAAGCGUGCGUAGGCUGUUUCGUAAGUCGUGUGUGAAAGGCGCGGGCUCAACCCGCGGACGGCACAUGAUACUGCGAGACUAGAGUAAUGGAGGGGGAACCGGAAUUCUCGGUGUAGCAGUGAAAUGCGUAGAUAUCGAGAGGAACACUCGUGGCGAAGGCGGGUUACUGGACAUUAACUGACGCUGCGGCACGAAGGCCAGGGGAGCGAAAGGGAUUAGAUACCCUUGUAGUC